GGAGGGUGCAAACGUUGCUCGGAAUUACUGGGCGUAAAGCGCGUGCAGGCGGUCUAUUAAGUCUCGUGUGAAAGCCCUGGGCUCAACCCAGGAAGUGCACGGGGAUACUGAUGGACUAGAGUUCGGUAGAAGAGGGCGGAAUUCCCGGUGUAGAGGUGAAAUUCGUAGAUAUCGGGAGGAACACCAGAAGCGAAAGCGGUUCUCUAGGCCGAUACUGACGCUCAGACGCGAAGGCGUGGGGAGCAAACAGGGAUUAGAUACCCUGGUAGUCCACGCCGUAAACGAUGGACACUAGAUGCUGGGGGGCUUGACCCCCCUUCAGCGUCGACGCUAACGCAUUAAGUGUCCCGCCUGGGGAUACGGUCGCAAGACUA
This 374-nucleotide ribosomal RNA is filed under the name uncultured organism. RNAcentral's name for it is "partial 16S ribosomal RNA". It matches the Rfam family "Bacterial small subunit ribosomal RNA", at positions 527 to 896 of the family's 1533-position model. The record is from RNAcentral.